UCUAGAACAUCCGAUGGCAAAGGGGUCAAGGAAAGGGGAUGCGGGUUGAAGCAAAACAAGUUAGCUCCCCAAAACAAACCGAGCAAGUCGGUCACAAGGCGAGCUCAAGAACUAAGAACGAUCCUCGGCGAGGCACGGGGAGAAAACUUCGUCACAGAGGGAAGUCGCGAGCCGUAGGACGGGAACCGGGAUACCUCCGGGACUGGGGACACUGGGCUAGAGGCUGCAGAGAGCAGUCUGCCUUCAUGAUGACCUCCUACUCCCAAAAUUUUCACCUUGAACUUCAUAGGAAGACCAGUGGACUACGCCGUACGAGACCAACUUCCGGCCUGCAGCGGAAGCUCCCUGGUACAGACACAGACCACCCCCUCUUCUGCUGAGGCCCCUGGCAAAGUUUCUCCGUCGGCUGAUGUCACCCAGGUUUGGAAGAGGACCUUUCUCUUUCUUCACUUCACACAAGUUCCAUAAUGGUGCUUCUCCUCGCCUACGACUUCAACUGCCACCCGAGAUAGAGUCUCGUGGAGCUCAAAUGGGUCCAGUAUUCUCUAAGUCACGAAAGAUAACCCUGAACUACUGUUCCAUCUCCCAAGUGCUGAGAUUAUACAGUGGGGCUGAGGAUGGAACCCAGGGCCUCACAUGUAGUAGGCAAGCACUCUGCCAACAUUACACCCGUAACCCUUGUUUAUCGGAACCCUUUGUUUAUGAUUGACAUUUUUUCCUAUCACCUGCCCAGCCAUCAGUCCAGUCUCACUUUUCGACAUUCCUCUGCACAGAACCACCUGCAGUUCCGUGGAUGCACUGCAUACUUCCCCCAACCCCCCACCUCACUGUCCUCACGCCUCCCCUGGAGACAGCAC
Molecule: long non-coding RNA, 857 nt
Organism: Grammomys surdaster
Lineage: Eukaryota; Metazoa; Chordata; Mammalia; Rodentia; Muridae
Exons: 4
Source: RefSeq, a predicted model, not a curated record